This 170-nucleotide ribosomal RNA is filed under the name uncultured marine bacterium. RNAcentral describes it as "partial 16S rRNA". It matches the Rfam family "Bacterial small subunit ribosomal RNA", at positions 338 to 525 of the family's 1533-position model. The record is from RNAcentral.
CCUACGGGAGGCAGCAGUGAGGAAUCUUCCACAAUGGGCGAAAGCCUGAUGGAGCAACGCCGCGUGAAGGAUGAAGGCCCUCGGGUCGUAAACUUCUUUUAUAAGUGAAGAAUAUGACGGUAACUUAUGAAUAAGCACCGGCUAACUACGUGCCAGCAGCCGCGGUAAUA